Molecule: unclassified non-coding RNA, 906 nt
Filed under: Hevea brasiliensis (rubber tree)
Lineage: Eukaryota; Viridiplantae; Streptophyta; Magnoliopsida; Malpighiales; Euphorbiaceae
Source: RNAcentral
GCAACAUUUAUAAUCUUUACCAUGCUUGCUCUCACAAUUUGGAUUCCCAUCUAUGAUCGAAUCCUGGUUCCAUUUCUUCAGAGACUAACUGGCAAAGAAGGUGGAUUCACACUUCUCCAAAGAAUGGGGAUUGGAAUCCUUCUUUCAGUUCUUUGUAUGUUCGUUUCUGGAUUGGUUGAAUCACACAGAAGACAUCUUUCUUUUACUAAGCCAACUCUAGGAAUUUCCCCGAAAGGUGGUGCUGUAUCAUCAAUGUCUUGGAUGUGGCUAGUGCCUCAACUUUCACUUGCUGGACUUUCUGAGGGCUUCAAUUAUGUUUCCCAGAUUGAGUUCUACUACAAACAAUUCCCUGAAAACAUGAGAAGUAUUGCAGGAUCUUCCUUCUUUGCUGGCCUAGCGCUAGCAAAUUUUCUCAGUGGUUUCCUUGUUUCCACCAUCCACAAGGUUACUGCAGCAACUAAAUCAGGAGAUUGGUUGUCUGAGGAUCUUAACAAGGGGAAAUUGGAUCAUUUCUAUUAUGUAAUUGGUGUUUUAGGGAUACUAAACUUGGUAUAUUUUCUGCUAUGUUCUAAGUGGUACAGAUAUAAAGUUCGUGAGGAUGAUGGGACUGUGGAGAUGUCCAAGAAAACAAAGGAAUCAGUGAGGCACCAUGUGUGAAAUGGGCUUAUACAGUCUCUUGAAAUCUGCAGUAUCAUAAAGGAUAAUUUCUCUUUGAUUUGCUGCUUCAUACAUAAUAUUUUCAUGUUUCCUCUUGUAUUUGCGUACAUCAGAAUUUAAACAAGAUUUUGUUCCUUCCCUGUAUCAAUGCAGAUAAAUUAGUCCUGCUGCUUCGGCUUAUUUUGUCUUUGAGAUGGAAGAAUAAUUCUUAAUUCUCAUUCAUGAAAAUAUUAUGUAUGAAGCAGCAAA